ACAACUGCAAAGCAAUCCUGCAGGACAAACCUAAAAUCAGCUUUGCAUCGUAAACCAGUGACACUGCAUCCUCUUUCAACAUAUGCUCACGAUUAAUGCCAGAAUGCUGCGUGAGGAACAUAUUGGAUACAGACUUCUUUCUUAAACUGAGAGAGAGCAUUGACCGCUGAAGACAGAUUUCCAGUUGCCUGACUGACAAAAGUACACUUGCACCGGAUGAUACAUUUGGGGUUAAAACGUGGCUCGUUCUCCCGCAUGAGACAUGUGGGACAUCAUUUGGUCGCCACACAGCGCACGCACCCUCACCGGGACAGCCGGACAGCCCCGAGAUCAAAGCCUGCCAAAUUCCCUGGUGAUUAUUCCCCUUUUGGGUCCGAUGUCAUGAUCAGAGACUGCAGCGGGGAGGCAGCGUACUCAGUCAAACAAGCUACGUAACAUUCAUUCGCCAUGCCAGAUCUAUUGCAAAGGCACACAUUCAUCCUUGUGCACGCACACAUGGACCCAGAUGAGGCGCGGAGGCAGCUGUGCUGUCACCCUGUGUCUAAUAUAGACGGAGAGCGGGUGAAGAAACGAUUGGACGCAGUGAGACACUCGGUCAACUUGGGGGGGGGCUGAGAACAUCAGGACGAUGAUGAACUCCUUUUCUACAGGCUCCACAGUAUAAACUCGUGAGAAUUACGACCUGCUUGGGUUUCUGCAGUAACGUAUCAGCUGAAACAACAGAUUAAGCAGUUCAACUGUAUCUUCAAAGCCUUUUCCAAAAGUCUGAUUUAUCAUUUUAAAGACGGACUGUGGCUGCUUUCUCAUGG
Gasterosteus aculeatus aculeatus (three-spined stickleback) is the source of this 809-nucleotide long non-coding RNA. The record is from Ensembl. NCBI's taxonomy places the organism in Eukaryota, Metazoa, Chordata, Actinopteri, Perciformes, Gasterosteidae.